UGGGGAAUUUUGGACGAAUUGGGCGAAAGCCUGAUCCAGCAAUGCCGCGUGUGUGAAGAAGGCCUUCGGGUUGUAAAGCACUUUUGUCCGGAAAGAAAUCCUUGGCUCUAAUACAGUCGGGGGAUACGGUACCGGAAGAAUAAGCACCGGCUAACUACGUGCCAGCAGCCGCGGUAAUACGUAGGGUGCAAGCGUUAAUCGGAAUUACUGGGCGUAAAGCGUGCGCAGGCGGUUUGCUAAGACCGAUGUGAAAUCCCCGGGCUCAACCUGGGAACUGCAUUGGUGACUGGCAGGCUAGAGUAUGGCAGAGGGGGGUUAGAAUUCCACGUGUANCAGUGAAAUGCGUAGAGAUGUGGAGGAAUACCGAUGGCGAAGGCAGCCCCCUGGGCCAAUA
RNAcentral lists this ribosomal RNA (394 nucleotides) under uncultured bacterium. RNAcentral's name for it is "partial 16S ribosomal RNA". It matches the Rfam family "Bacterial small subunit ribosomal RNA", at positions 355 to 739 of the family's 1533-position model. The record is from RNAcentral.